This 468-nucleotide ribosomal RNA is filed under the name uncultured bacterium. RNAcentral's name for it is "partial 16S ribosomal RNA". It matches the Rfam family "Bacterial small subunit ribosomal RNA", at positions 28 to 507 of the family's 1533-position model. The record is from RNAcentral.
GACGAACGCUGGCGGCGCGCUUAACACAUGCAAGUCGAACGGGAAGGCCCUGCUUUGGUGGGGUGCUCGAGUGGCGAACGGGUGAGUAACACGUGAGUAGCCUGCCCUAGACUUUGGGAUAACUUCAGGAAACUACGGCUAAUACCGGAUAGGAGCUCCUGCUGCAUGCUGGGGGUUGGAAAGUUUCGGCGGUUGGGGAUGGACUCGCGGCGUAUCAGCUUGUUGGUGGGGUGGUGGCUUACCAAGGCUUUGACGGGUAGCCGGCCUGGGAGGGUGAGCGGCCACGUCGGGAUUGGGAUGCGGCCCAGACCCCUACGGGAGGCAGCAGUGGAGAAGAGUGUACAAUGGGCGGAAGCCUGAUGCAGCACCGCCGCGUGCGGGAUGACGGCCUGCGGGUUGUAAACCGCUUUCGCCUGGGACGAAGCGAGAGUGACGGUAAUGGGCAAAGAAGCACCGGCUAACUACGUG